GUGCUCACUUGGACAGCGCAUAUUCUAAAAUAGGAGUGAUAUAGAGAAGACUAGUAUGGUCCCUGCACAAGGAUGACACACAAAUUCAUAACAAAUUCAGUGUUUUU
Molecule: small nuclear RNA, 107 nt
Filed under: Procavia capensis (Cape rock hyrax)
Lineage: Eukaryota; Metazoa; Chordata; Mammalia; Hyracoidea; Procaviidae
Source: RNAcentral